UUAAACAUGUUGAUGAGACGAGUAGAGCAGGAAAUAAUACAGAGAGAGAUACAAAUGCUGGAAGUAUCUUAUUAGGAACUGUUUGAAAACUACCUCGGAGUGACCCCAAUCCGGUCCGUUGGUAACGUUAUAACCAAAUGAAGUAGGUUUUGUAAGCGAUAAGAUACAAAACAAAAAGGGUGGAACCGCGAGAAAAUAGUAGCUCGUCCCUUUC
RNAcentral lists this non-coding RNA (214 nucleotides) under Clostridium sp. RNAcentral's name for it is "T-box sequence". It matches the Rfam family "T-box leader". Rfam says of the family: Uncharged tRNA acts as the effector for transcription antitermination of genes in the T-box leader family. T-boxes are found upstream of many aminoacyl-tRNA synthetase genes and some amino acid biosynthetic genes usually in Gram-positive bacteria. Lineage: Bacteria; Bacillati; Bacillota; Clostridia; Eubacteriales; Clostridiaceae. The record is from RNAcentral.